This 253-nucleotide ribosomal RNA is filed under the name uncultured bacterium. Its description in RNAcentral is "partial 16S ribosomal RNA". It matches the Rfam family "Bacterial small subunit ribosomal RNA", at positions 524 to 776 of the family's 1533-position model. The record is from RNAcentral.
UACGAAGGGGACUAGCGUUGUUCGGAUUUACUGGGCGUAAAGCGCGCGUAGGCGGAUCGCUAAGUCAGGGGUGAAAUCCCAGGGCUCAACCCUGGAACUGCCUUUGAUACUGACGAUCUGGAGAUCGGGAGAGGUUGGUGGAAUUCCGAGUGUAGAGGUGAAAUUCGUAGAUAUUCGCAAGAACACCAGUGGCGAAGGCGGCUCACUGGCCCGAUACUGACGCUGAGGUGCGAAAGCGUGGGGAGCAAACAGG